GGGGAUGCAGCUCUGUGGUCGAGUACUUGUCUGGAAUGCACAAGGCUCUGGGUUCAAACCCUAGUAUCCCCA
RNAcentral lists this transfer RNA (72 nucleotides) under Dipodomys ordii (Ord's kangaroo rat). It matches the Rfam family "tRNA". From Rfam's summary of the family: Transfer RNA (tRNA) molecules are approximately 80 nucleotides in length. Their secondary structure includes four short double-helical elements and three loops (D, anti-codon, and T loops). Lineage: Eukaryota; Metazoa; Chordata; Mammalia; Rodentia; Heteromyidae. The record is from Rfam by way of RNAcentral.